This is a non-coding RNA of Cinara cedri, 288 nucleotides long. The record is from the annotation of a GenBank genome assembly. NCBI's taxonomy places the organism in Eukaryota, Metazoa, Arthropoda, Insecta, Hemiptera, Aphididae.
GCCAUAUUGUAUUACAAUGUAAUAUUCGACGUCCUCUUGAGCUUAUCGUCGGCCGAGGGUCGCGUAAGAAGUUAGGACGUGACGAUGCGUACGCCGUCGGAAAAAAAAAUCGUUGUUCGAAAAUAGAUUACUUUGUUUGUAAACAUCGAGUCGACAAAACAUAAGUUGUUUGGGUAAACGUAAGUACUGGACGCGGUGUUCCAUAACGGAGCGCGAUGGAAUAUUUUCGAUUUGCGUAUACUUACGUCGGAUACGAGUUAUACGAACGCUGGAUCAUAGCGUCCUAAA